Long non-coding RNA from Chrysemys picta bellii (western painted turtle), 663 nucleotides. RefSeq lists it as uncharacterized. NCBI's taxonomy places the organism in Eukaryota, Metazoa, Chordata, Testudines, Emydidae. The record is from RefSeq and is a predicted model, not a curated record.
CCAGCUCCCCUGUCUUUUGGAGAACUGCAUCAGAGCUAUGGACUUUCCACAGUUAAUCUACUCAGAGAUAAACCUUGCCUGAAACCAGGCAUUCCAAAUCUAUAAUUAGCAUUAAUUCCUAAAGGAUUUCCCAUGUGAGAACCCCAACUACUUGAACUGUCCCCAUUAGAAUCAAUUCCCCAGCUUCAUUUUCAUGAACUGUAGCUGUAAAAAGUGCAGAGUGGGGGGAUGAGAAAAGCCCAGCCAACCACUUCAACAGCAGCUUGUGUUUACAUCUUCACUCUGCUUGAGACCAUGGACACCAGAGAAAAGCUUGAAGAUGUGAAGCAUGUCCAGCCUGAAGGCCCACAAACCAGAAGGCAAAUAAAGAUCCUGACAUUAUUAUUUUCUUUUUUAAAUCUCAUGAUUUUGAGUGUCAGACUCUUGAUUUUUGCAUGUUUGCGGUUGGCAGUACCACACUAGAAACCCCCCAUUUGUGAGGAGUGUACCUUUAUUUCCAAUUGCUCGGUCUGAUCACCUCUAUGUAGUACAAGUGACUGACAGCAAGGCAGUCGCUGUCUCUAGCAAGGGAGGGCUCAGGUGGGCUUGGUGUAAACAGGGCCAGUGCAAGGAUAUUUUGCGCCCUAGGCGAAACUUCCACCUUGGCGCCCCUCCCCCCCUCCC